RNAcentral lists this unclassified non-coding RNA (253 nucleotides) under plant metagenome. Its description in RNAcentral is "partial contains small subunit ribosomal RNA, internal transcribed spacer 1, and 5.8S ribosomal RNA". The stretch from base 1 to 52 matches the Rfam family "Eukaryotic small subunit ribosomal RNA", at positions 1778 to 1831 of the family's 1831-position model. The record is from RNAcentral.
GGAAGUAAAACGUAACAAGGUCUCCGUUGGUGAACCAGCGGAGGGAUCAUUACCGAGUUUUUCUACUCCCUAACCCCUGUGAACUUAUACCUUUACUGUUGCUUCGGCGGGUUAACGCCCCGGAAGGCCCAAAAAGCCGCCGGAACCAGGCGCCCGCCGGGGGACCCAAACUCUUGUAUUUCUUACUUUGCAUGUCUGAGUGGAAUCAUAAACAAAUGAAUCAAAACUUUCAACAACGGAUCUCUUGGUUCUG